RNAcentral lists this ribosomal RNA (449 nucleotides) under Macrostomum spirale. Its description in RNAcentral is "partial 16S ribosomal RNA". The stretch from base 312 to 449 matches the Rfam family "Bacterial large subunit ribosomal RNA", at positions 2473 to 2611 of the family's 2925-position model. Lineage: Eukaryota; Metazoa; Platyhelminthes; Macrostomidae. The record is from RNAcentral.
UUAAUAAAAACAUUUCUUUUUUAAAAAAAAGUAUCCCCUGCCCAAUGAUUUUUAAAUGGCUGCAGUAAUUUGACUGCAAUAAUGUAGCAUAAUUGCUUGUAAUUUUAUUGGUUACUUGUUUGAAUGGGUGAAUGAUAAAUUGAAAUUAUAUUAAUUUUUUUAAAAUUUUUAUUUUUAGUUAAAAUACUAAAAUUAUUAAAAAAGAAGAGAAGACCCUAAAAGUUUUUAUUUUAAAAUAGAAAAAUUUUUUUUAGGGUAAAAAUUAAUUAUAGUUAUUUUUAGAUAGGGUUAAAAGAAAAAAUUACUUUAGGGAUAACAGGAAAAUAAAAUUUUAGAGUUCAAAUUAAUAAUUUUGUUUUUUACCUCGAUGUUGAAUUAAAAAAUCUUUAUUUUGUAGCAAAAAUAAAAGAAAGUCUGUUCGACUUUUAAAUUUUUACAUGAUUUGAGUU